AUAUGUAUGUAUGUAUGUAUGUAUGUGUGCAUGUAUGCAUGUUGCAUGUAUAUAUUAUGCAUGCAUGU
Molecule: microRNA precursor, 68 nt
Filed under: Mus spretus (western wild mouse)
Lineage: Eukaryota; Metazoa; Chordata; Mammalia; Rodentia; Muridae
Description: predicted gene, 56248 (ENSMSPG00010050484.1)
Source: RNAcentral